Neofelis nebulosa (Clouded leopard) is the source of this 3301-nucleotide long non-coding RNA. RefSeq lists it as uncharacterized. The record is from RefSeq and is a predicted model, not a curated record. NCBI's taxonomy places the organism in Eukaryota, Metazoa, Chordata, Mammalia, Carnivora, Felidae. The transcript is spliced from 3 exons.
CCCAGUCUUUCCCUAAGGGCCAAAUCCAGGAGCCGAGCGAGAAGGGGGCUGCCGGCUACAUGGAAUGUUAUCUGUUGGGGCGUCAGCUCCACUUAACGGGGGCUGGAAGGAAACAACUGGCUGCCGGAGCACAGGAGACAAAAAUCCCCAGUAGUGUGGGAGGUGGGGAUUUCUCCCGGAGGAGGCUUCACCCUGGGUCACAUACACCUGGGUGAGGUGGCGUUUCUGGUGUGGGGGGCUGCCCAACCGAAGGUGGGCCUCAUGCCGACCCAGGCCGACUCAACGGAAAACGUUAGCUGAGGCCUCCUCUCCCUGUCCCGUGUCAGUACGUGGUCCUUCCGCCGCAUGGGUAUGUGGUCUAAAAAAGCCAGCGCUUGGAGCCCAGUUUGGGGGGACCCAAGUUUACCGGAGGUCAAAUCUGCAUGAACAUAAGCCAAAGCACAAAGCGGGCCAACUGAAGAAUCGGCUGGUACUGAUGAGGGAGCGUGGGGUGGGCUGAGGACAGAAUGCAAGCUAGCAUCCCCCCCCACCCCAGGUGGGGUAUGUGUGACAUUCCUCAGGUACUCCUGGCUGCCCAAGGACAAAGGAAAGGAGAGAAAACAAAUGGUUAAGUGAUAGAGAUCACAGUCAUACAGGGCAUGAGUCCCCAUCAGUUUGCAAAUAUCUUAGUAAAUUACAAGAAAAAGGCAACCUUGUCAAUAGCCUAAUGUCCAGAAACCUAUAGACUCAGUUUCCUGGAGCCCCAACAUCACCCCUCCAUAGUGAUGUGGGGAACAAGGGCAGGAAGGCAAUGGCAGGUAAAAUUAAAUUUCCUUAUGACCUGCAGGCCAUUGACAAAUACUUGAGGCACAUACAGAGUAUAACAUUUCUCCAGGAAAUCCUGCUGCCCUAAUGCCAAUGCCUUACUAGAGGGAAAAACAACCUUAGCUUGACAACAGCAAGGCCUCAGGUAUCCUAGGAAUCCUCUUUAGCACAUCAAAGUCCCUCUGGAGGCCUCCCUUUCGUCUUGACCUCCCCAACUCCAGUGUAUAUAACCAGCCACUCUUCACAACCCCAGUGCAGCUCUUCUUGCCCAUGGGUGUUGGUCCCAUGCUUUAAUACAAUCACCUUUUUGCAUCAAAGACAUCUUCAAGAAUUGUUUCUUGUACGUCGCCUCCAGAAUCCCCACCAUCAUCCCAAAACUUCAUCAUAUGGUGCCCAGCUUGGGGCUACAAGUCCUUCCAUCUGGACUCUGAGCUGGUGCAAACCCGGAGGAGCAUGGGAGCAUCUCUUCGGUCCCCAAGUGUUCUCCUUUGAGAUGCCUUUUAACCACUGGAAACAAUUUGGAUUGCAAAAUGUAGACAAGGACUGUCUCCUGUAACACUGCACGGCCUUAAACAGGGCAAAGGAACACAGGAGAUGCUGGAUGGUGACUAACUUAUCGUGGUAAUCACCUCACGACGUAUGUAAGUCACAUUAUUAUGCUGAACCCCUUAAACUUAUACAGGGCUGCGUAUCAAUUGUAUCUUAAUAAAAAGGGGGAAAUUUUUCUUCAAGAAUUCAUGCGUCGAGUUUGGAGACGGAGGAGAACAUGAUGUCUUUUUUCUGAUUUGUUUCCUGUGGUUCCUUUUCCCUUCAGAACUCCAUUGAGAGAGCACUAGGCAAACCCGGGGGGGCGGAAAUCAACUCAGCCAAAUUCACCAAACUGAAGGGUUUCUUUUCCUGAGCUUUGCUUUGCUGGCCUGACAAAGCAGAGAGGCCCGGGGCUCCCAAGCCCUAGCCAGACCUGCCUGGGAGCCCCGUGCCUGGUCUCCGGGGGCCGCUUUGUCCGACUGCCUGUCUGGCCUCCCCAGGUCCACCUGUGCUCGACCUUUCCGUCUCAAACCUACUCACACUCUCUGCAGCAAGGCUAAUAAGCCCACCCUGAGUUUUCCUUUUCUGCUUUAUUUUCUCCUUAUUCUAUUUUUUUUCUCCAAAUUAUCCUUUGAUACAAUUUAGGGUUUUCUAUGGUCACAAACAAUCCUCCCUUGAUCCAUUGACCCACAAAUCAGCCAUCACUGACUAAGCCAAUGAAAAAGUAUUUGGAAUUAAUACAUGGAAGAAUCCAGCCUGAGGUAAUAGCCAGCCCCCAUCAGUGACAAGUUCCAGACAAGAUCUUCAGCAUAGGUCACAAAAAGGAAGAUAAAAAUUUGAGGUGUUAGAAAUUUCCCAGAACUUUGACUUUUGCAUUUGGUAGUUACAGAAUUUUGAAUGUGACCGAUAUCCCUAAGGCAUAAUUCUCCCCUAACAUUUCUACCUUUGUUAGGUGGGUGGAACUUUGCUUGAAAUUUUUUUUUUAAUUUUUUUUAACGUUUAUUUAUUUUUGAGACAGAGAGAGACAGAGCAUGAAAGGGGGAGGGUCAGAGAGAGAGAGGGCGACACAGAAUCUGAAACAGGCUCCAGGCUCUGAGCCAUCAGCACAGAGCCUGACGCGGGGCUUGAACUCACGAACCACGAGAUCACGAGCUGAGCCGAAGUCGGACGCUUAACCGACUGAGCCACCCAGGCACCCCUGCUUCAAAUUGUUUUUUAUAGUCUGUUUCCUCUAACCUUCAAGGUACUCCUCGCUGUUUUAAGAAUUAAAAUCGACAGGAAAAAAAAGAAUUAAAAUUGACAGGAGACAGACUAACAGGAGAAUCAAAAUUACAUACAUGGGGAGAAGCCACCAUAAACAUGAGAGAUUUCAGACAGAUAAAAUGAGGUAUAAAUGUCCUUCUGGACUAAGGAGGAGGAGUGAGGAGUCUGGGCUUCAGAGGGAAGGAGGACAAUUCACAGGAAGAAUGGAAAGAUGUUUGGUAAACAAAUCUUUAUGGGUCAUAGAGACAAUGGGACUUAGAGAAGAAUUUUAACAAACAGAUUUUACUAACUUCCUGCCUACCACCCCUAGUUCAUAUUAUAAUGUAGUUGUCCUUGGUGACUGCUCCUUUCCUGGAGUGGGUGCUCUAUCUAAAUUCUUUUUUUUUUUUAAUUUUUUAAAAUGUUUAUUCAUUUUUGAGAGACAGAGAAAGACAGAGCAGGAGCAGGGCCAGGGCAGAGAGAGAGGGAAACACAGAAUGUGAGGCAGGCUCCAGGCUCUGAGCUGUCAGCACAGAGCCCGAUGCAGGGCUCAAACCCCACAAACUGUGAGAUCAUGACCUGAGCCGAAGUCGGAUGCUUAACCGACUGAGCCACCCAGGCGCCCCUCUGAAUUCUUUAAGCAGUUAGUGGGAAGGUCUUCCCCCCACCCCAGCCCUAAAUCCCAAAUAUUCUCUUCUAUGUUUUUUUCUAAAGUUUUUAAAUUUUA